This 369-nucleotide ribosomal RNA is filed under the name Triticum aestivum (bread wheat). RNAcentral's name for it is "partial small subunit ribosomal RNA". The record is from RNAcentral. Lineage: Eukaryota; Viridiplantae; Streptophyta; Magnoliopsida; Poales; Poaceae.
AUGUGUGUUCCGUGUAGUCAUAUUCCAAAUCAUGGGUAUCGCCUCCCCUCCCCCCGUCAUCGGCGAGGACAACAUGUAGUUCCAAGCCCACCGUCAUUGUGUUUUCCAUGUCCUGAUCACUCCAUCGAUAUUCCUCUCUACCCCUCCUCCACGAGUCUUAUCUCCAUCGAUGGUUCCUUCCCUCUUCAUAACCGUGAGGGUCAUUUAUAUAUGAUUGACGACUUCGAAGUUCUGGAUCCAAGCAUCGAUGGUGUCCUCCCUCUUCAUGACCGCGAGAGUUAUUUCCAGGUGAUUGUUGGAUUCGAAGUUCUAGAUCUAACCAUCGAUGGCGUCCUCCCUCUUCAUGACCGCAAGAGUUAUCUCAGGUGA